GUUUGAUCCUGGCUCAGGAUGAACGCUGGCGGCGUGCCUAAUACAUGCAAGUCGAACGCUUCACUUCGGUGAAGAGUGGCGAACGGGUGAGUAAUACAUAAGUAACCUGGCAUCUACAGGGGGAUAACUGAUGGAAACGUCAGCUAAGACCGCAUAGGUGUAGAGAUCGCAUGAACUCUAUAUGAAAAGUGCUACGGGACUGGUAGAUGAUGGACUUAUGGCGCAUUAGCUUGUUGGUAGGGUAACGGCCUACCAAGGCGACGAUGCGUAGCCGACCUGAGAGGGUGACCGGCCACACUGGGACUGAGACACGGCCCAGACUCCUACGGGAGGCAGCAGUAGGGAAUUUUCGGCAAUGGGGGAAACCCUGACCGAGCAACGCCGCGUGAAGGAAGAAGUAAUUCGUUAUGUAAACUUCUGUCAUAGAGGAAGAACGGUGGAUAUAGGGAAUGAUAUCCAAGUGACGGUACUCUAUAAGAAAGCCACGGCUAACUACGUGCCAGCAGCCGCGGUAAUACGUAGGUGGCGAGCGUUAUCCGGAAUUAUUGGGCGUAAAGAGGGAGCAGGCGGCACUAAGGGUCUGUGGUGAAAGAUCGAAGCUUAACUUCGGUAAGCCAUGGAAACCGUAGAGCUAGAGUGUGUGAGAGGAUCGUGGAAUUCCAUGUGUAGCGGUGAAAUGCGUAGAUAUAUGGAGGAACACCAGUGGCGAAGGCGACGAUCUGGCGCAUAACUGACGCUCAGUCCCGAAAGCGUGGGGAGCAAAUAGGAUUAGAUACCCUAGUAGUCCACGCCGUAAACGAUGAGUACUAAGUGUUGGGUGUCAAAGCUCAGUGCUGCAGUUAACGCAAUAAGUACUCCGCCUGAGUAGUACGUUCGCAAGAAUGAAACUCAAAGGAAUUGACGGG
RNAcentral lists this ribosomal RNA (905 nucleotides) under human gut metagenome. Its description in RNAcentral is "bacterial SSU rRNA". It matches the Rfam family "Bacterial small subunit ribosomal RNA", at positions 11 to 917 of the family's 1533-position model. The record is from RNAcentral.